AUGACUCUCAUCACCAUCCUCAUCUGGACGCUGACCUGCUGCUGUUUUACAGGAUGCAGCGGUCAGGUGACUGUGACUCAACCUCCAGUAGUGACGUCUACUCCUGGAAACACUGUGACUCUGACCUGUAGGACCAGCCAAGCUGUUUACAGAUGGUCUGAUGGUAAUGAGGGAUCAGAUGCCAGUUCAUCUGUGACUCAGUCUCCUCUAUUUAAGGCUGCUGCUUUGGGGCAGACGGUCUCUCUGAGCUGUACAGCCAGUAAAGGAGUUGAUGAUGAUCUCAGCUGGUAUCUACAGAAACCUGGACAGCCUCCCAAACUGCUGUUUUAUAAAAUCAGCAGCCGUGAAUCUGGUACUCCGAGUCAUUUCAGCAGCAGUGGCUCUGAGCCUGAGUUCACUCUGACAAUCAAUGGAGUUCAGGCUGCAGAUGCAGGAGAUUACUACUGUAUGGGAGUGUAUGAAGGCCCAGUGUUCACACAGUGA
Non-coding RNA from Pelmatolapia mariae (spotted tilapia), 483 nucleotides. NCBI's taxonomy places the organism in Eukaryota, Metazoa, Chordata, Actinopteri, Cichliformes, Cichlidae. The record is from the annotation of a RefSeq genome assembly.